RNAcentral lists this ribosomal RNA (462 nucleotides) under uncultured bacterium. RNAcentral's name for it is "bacterial SSU rRNA". It matches the Rfam family "Bacterial small subunit ribosomal RNA", at positions 28 to 507 of the family's 1533-position model. The record is from RNAcentral.
GACGAACGCUGGGCGGCGUGGAUUAGGCAUGCAAGUCGAACGGUAUCAUCCUUUCGGGGGUGAGAGAGUGGCGAACUGGUGAGUAACACGUAGGUUAUCUACCCUCAAGACGGGGACAACCCAGGGAAACUUGGGCUAAUACCGGAUGUGAGCAACUUUUAGUUGUUUGAAAGGUGGCGUAAGCUGUCGCUUGGGGAUGAGCCUGCGUCCUAUUAGUUAGUUGGUGAGGUAACGGCUCACCUAGGCAAUGAUAGGUAGGCGGCCUUAACGGGUAGUCGCCCACACUGGGAUUGAGAUACGGCCCAGACUCCUACGGGAGGCAGCAGUCGAGAAUAGUCUACAAUGGUCGGAAGACUGAUAGUGCGACGCCGCGUGAACGAUGAAUCCCUUCGGGGUGUAAAGUUCUUUUAUAUGGGAUGAGGAAGGACAGUACCAUAUGAAUAAGUCUCGGCUAACUACGUG